This 253-nucleotide ribosomal RNA is filed under the name uncultured bacterium. Its description in RNAcentral is "partial 16S ribosomal RNA". It matches the Rfam family "Bacterial small subunit ribosomal RNA", at positions 524 to 776 of the family's 1533-position model. RNAcentral also lists the same sequence under 1 other name. The record is from RNAcentral.
UACGGAGGGUGCAAACGUUGCUCGGAAUCAUUGGGCGUAAAGCGCGCGUAGGCGGCGAAGCAAGUUGGAUGUGAAAGCCCUGGGCUCAACCUAGGAUGUGCAUACAAAACUGCUUCGCUUGAAUCUCGGAGGGGGACAGGGAAUUCCCGGUGUAGAGGUGAAAUUCGUAGAUAUCGGGAGGAACACCAGUGGCGAAGGCGCUGUCCUGGACGAUGAUUGACGCUGAGGCGCGAAAGCGUGGGGAGCAAACAGG